GAGGGAUGGGCAGCAGCGAAGAGGCAAAUCUCCCCCCAGAACCUGUUUGCCCUACACAUUUGCUAGGGGUUUUCAGAAGGUAGACUUCUCUGGGGACAUUGGGAGAUGGCGGGGUUAGAGAGGAAGAGCCCAGCAAACUUUUCAUAGAUCCUGCCACGCCAGCCCCUCGCUCCCAGAAAUUACAGCAAUCAUCGCUGCACUUAUUCUGUGAAGAUACAUGUGUAGAUGUGACUUAAGUGUCUGUUUCUUCAUUGUUCCUUGUGUCCUUACCAGCCUAAAUUUCAGGUUCUGUGUCUCUGGAUAAGAUCCAUAUCGUAUAUCCAUCAAACUUUGCACACCCGACUCCACAUGGGAAAGUGAGCCAUGAAAGUCGUUUUACAUCUGUAUACUGCUGUGAUUCCAGGGCACAUCACUGGUGCAUUCUAUCUGAACAGAGUAAUCCAGAUCUGCAACCAGCCAAAGCAAUUCCACUAGGAACGCUGAUGCCCUAAGCUGACAAAGGGGACUACCAGGAGAUAAAGGAUGAAGAAGAUGGGACAUAAAAGCUCUGGGAUCAAGUUCCCAAGGUGUGAGCAGGGCAGAGUGUCAUCCUUGCCCUAGACAGGGUGAAAGCAACUACCCACAGCAUGUCCCUGCACUUCAGCCUGGGACUGGAAACUUGGCUUCUGCAGUAUACAGGCAAUACUGAAACUCAGGGGCUGGCUGCCUGGGAGAAAGAAAAGCCUGACCAACCAGGGUCGUCCCUGAUGUCAUGGGGUGAGGCCAAAAGCUCCAUACUUCCUAAAUUUAAGGAGCCCUGAAAUGACAGAAUCAGUGAUCCUGAAGUAGAUCCCGUGGUGAGUGUCCUCCUGUGACUUCUAGUAUAAAGAUGUUUCAGACUGUACUGAUGUGAUUAUCCUGACAUGGAACCUUCUACAGGGAAAUCCACUGCACAGAGUGAUGUCAGGCCCCUCACUGUGACACUGAGAGCCUCAACCUUGGACACAACAGAUCUGCAUGGAAACCCAUCCAGAGAGCCUAGUGGUGAGCUCUCAAGAGACCUCUGAGUGGCUAUCUCAUGGACGGACACAUGCUCUCCUGGGACAUUCCAGGCCUAGCAGUUAUUUCCACCCCCCCAUGGGACAACCUGUUCUCUCACCCUUUCUGAUAGACAAGCAAGGGCUGCCCCAUAAAGGAGAUGUAAAAAUUGUGCACGGUGCAAACAGGAGAGGAACUCACAAUAAUCACGACGGUGCCAGCAACUCUCAGACCAACAUUCCACACAAGAAGAAGGAGACUUUGAUAAGACGUUAAUAAUAAUAUUACAGACAUCAAAGUUAAACUUUACUUCCAUUACUGUCAAAGAGACCACACAGUAAUAAGCAAAACAGCAGACUUUUUAAAAGAGAAAUUUAAAGCACCAAAGCCCCUCUGUCAGCACCUUCGGUUAUUUGUCUCACAGCCUCUGCCCUGCACAUAGGUUUGUACGUCUUUAACACAGGGCAAUAGCACUGCACAGAUCAUGUGGUAUCCUGCUCCUCUUUAAAGAGCCAACACUUUUCUAUUGACUUGGGCUUCACGACAAUCAUUUCAAACUGCAUGCAUGCCACUGGGCUAGCUCUGUGUGCAAGCGUUGCUUUACAUAGCAAUGGUUAGUUUAGCAAUCGUCAAAUGAUUAUUUGGAAUCAUUCGCUUUUUUAAUCUAUCUUAUAAAACUGAAAUGAAAACUUCA
Molecule: non-coding RNA, 1711 nt
Organism: Arvicanthis niloticus (Nile rat)
Lineage: Eukaryota; Metazoa; Chordata; Mammalia; Rodentia; Muridae
Source: RefSeq, a predicted model, not a curated record